UACGUAGGGUGCGAGCGUUGCCCGGAUUUAUUGGGCGUAAAGGGUGCGUAGGCGGUCGGGUAAGUCUGAUGUGAAAUCUCACAGCUUAACUGUGAAACUGCAUUGGAUACUAUCCGGCUAGAGGAAUGGAGGGGAGACUGGAAUACUUGGUGUAGCAGUGAAAUGCGUAGAUAUCAAGUGGAACACCAGUGGCGAAGGCGAGUCUCUGGACAUUUCCUGACGCUGAGGCACGAAAGCCAGGGGAGCAAACGGG
Molecule: ribosomal RNA, 253 nt
Filed under: uncultured bacterium
Lineage: Bacteria
Description: partial 16S ribosomal RNA
Rfam family: Bacterial small subunit ribosomal RNA
Source: RNAcentral